Molecule: non-coding RNA, 728 nt
Organism: Dermacentor albipictus
Lineage: Eukaryota; Metazoa; Arthropoda; Arachnida; Ixodida; Ixodidae
Source: RefSeq, a predicted model, not a curated record
UCCAGAAUAGAGCCCCUACAUGGGAAUGAUGGGUAGUACAGGCUUCGGAUUGACUUCGGUAUUUAGACUAGUGGCGUUUGCUUCUGGCCCAGUAAGAAAGUGUCUGCGUUCACCCGGUGAACGCAGCGCAAGCGUUAGGUUCACCCAAACGUCACGUCCGGGACGCCACAUCCGGUCUUUGUUUUUUUACGUCCGUGAUGUCACAUUUGGCCUUUUUGGCGGCAUAAUAUGGCAUAUGGCAGGCUCGGAGUGCACGAAGCGGUGGAUCGCUUAUUUUUCGGGCUUUUGCUUCUCGGACCGCCACACCGGCCAGCCAGUGCUACAGUGUCCUAAUGCAGAGAACGUAUAUUACACGGAACUGCGCUCCUUCAGAGUUAUUUAGAGUCUUUGUCAGAAGCACGUAACAGUAACAUUACUUGGUUACGGUGCUGCUACAUGGCAGAAUAUUUGAAUGGCAGAUGUCCCGAGUGCGGCAUGUAAGUACGUACGUACGCGCGCUUGUUUAGCCUAAAUAAGAGUUUCUAUUGUUCCCCAAUGGAAAUGCACAUUCCUGAUGCAUGGUUCAGAUCUGCCGGCUAAGGGCGGUAGUGAAUAAAGUCACCAAAUUGCGGCCUCGUUGCGGUCUCGCAUUGCGGCCUCAUUGCACGGUCGGGAAAAAUUGCUUUAGAACCAAAAUUUCGCUGCGCUGUCAGUAGCCAUUCACUGAUAAGCUUUCUCCGCAGCGUAAU